AGCGAACGCUGGCGGCAGGCCUAACACAUGCAAGUCGAACGGAUCCUUCGGGAUUAGUGGCGGAUGGGUGAGUAACACGUGGGAACGUGCCCUUUGGUUCGGAACAACUCAGGGAAACUUGAGCUAAUACCGGAUGUGCCCUUCGGGGGAAAGAUUUAUCGCCAUUGGAGCGGCCCGCGUCCGUUUAGCUUGUUGGUGAUGUAACGGCCCACCACGGCGACGAUAAGUAGCUGGUCUGAGAGGAUGAGCAGCCACACUGGGACUGAGACCCGGCCCAGACUCCUACGGGAGGCAGCAGUGGGGAAUCUUGCGCAAUGGGCGAAAGCAUGACGCAGCCAUGCCGCGUGAAUGAUGAAGGUCUUAGGAUUGUAAAAUUCUUUCAGCGGGGACGGUAAUGACGGUACCCGCAGAAGAAGCUCCGGCUAACUUCGUG
This 433-nucleotide ribosomal RNA is filed under the name uncultured bacterium. RNAcentral's name for it is "partial 16S ribosomal RNA". It matches the Rfam family "Bacterial small subunit ribosomal RNA", at positions 29 to 507 of the family's 1533-position model. The record is from RNAcentral.